This 950-nucleotide non-coding RNA is filed under the name Parachromis managuensis. RNAcentral's name for it is "12S ribosomal RNA". It matches the Rfam family "Bacterial small subunit ribosomal RNA". Lineage: Eukaryota; Metazoa; Chordata; Actinopteri; Cichliformes; Cichlidae. The record is from RNAcentral.
CAAAGGCUUGGUCCUGACUUUACUGUCAACUUUGGCUAUACUUACACAUGCAAGUCUCCGCACCCCCGUGAGAACGCCCACAGUUCUCUGCCCGAGAACAAGGAGCUGGUAUCAGGCACAAUAACCCACAGCCCAUAACACCUUGCUCAGCCACACCCUCAAGGGAAUUCAGCAGUGAUAGACAUUAAGCCCUGAGCGAAAGCUUGACUUAGUCAAAGCCAAUAAGGGCCGGUAAAACUCGUGCCAGCCACCGCGGUUAUACGAGAGGCCCAAGUUGACAGGUGCCGGCGUAAAGAGUGGUUAAGGGAAACCAUCCAACUAAAGCCGAACACCUUCAUAGCUGUUAUACGCUUCCGAAGGCAUGAAGCCCCACCACGAAAGUGGCUUUACUUCCCCCGACUCCACGAAAGCUGCGGAACAAACUGGGAUUAGAGACCCCACUAUGCCCAGCCCUAAACUUUGAUGGCACAUUACACCCGCCAUCCGCCAGGGAACUACGAGCAUUAGCUUAAAACCCAAAGGACUUGGCGGUGCUUUAGACCCACCUAGAGGAGCCUGUUCUAGAACCGAUAAUCCCCGUUAAACCUCACCCUCUCUUGUCAUUCCCGCCUAUAUACCGCCGUCGUCAGCUUACCCUGUGAAGGCAUUAAUAGUAAGCAAAACUAGUAAAACCCAAAACGCCAGGUCGAGGUGUAGCAUAUGAGAGGGAAAGAAAUGGGCUACAUUCCCUACUUUAGGGAACACGGACAAUGUAAUGAAAGGUACAUUAGAAGGAGGAUUUAGCAGUAAGCAAAAAAUAGAGCGUUUUGCUGAAACUGGCCCUGAAGCGCGCACACACCGCCCGUCACUCUCCCCAAACCAACUUUAAAAAAAUACAUAAUACAUUUUAGGAAUUAAGGGGAGGCAAGUCGUAACAUGGUAAGUGUACCGGAAGAUGCACUUGGAAAAAC